UACAGAGGUCUCAAGCGUUGUUCGGAUUCAUUGGGCGUAAAGGGCGCGUAGGCGGCGAGGUAAGUCGGGUGUGAAAUCUCAGAGCUCAACUCUGAAACUGCACUCGAUACUGCUUUGCUAGAGGACUGGAGAGGAGAUUGGAAUUCACGGUGUAGCAGUGAAAUGCGUAGAGAUCGUGAGGAAGACCAGUGGCGAAGGCGGAUCUCUGGACAGUUCCUGACGCUGAGGCGCGAAGGCCAGGGGAGCAAACGGG
Molecule: ribosomal RNA, 253 nt
Filed under: uncultured bacterium
Lineage: Bacteria
Description: partial 16S ribosomal RNA
Rfam family: Bacterial small subunit ribosomal RNA
Source: RNAcentral